Molecule: long non-coding RNA, 404 nt
Organism: Cucurbita maxima (winter squash)
Lineage: Eukaryota; Viridiplantae; Streptophyta; Magnoliopsida; Cucurbitales; Cucurbitaceae
Exons: 3
Source: RefSeq, a predicted model, not a curated record
UGAGGAAGAUGCUGAGGGGCGACUGGUCGUCGAAGUCCCAAGCGAUUUGCUUGACUAGGCAGUCUGCUUUGGAGUUCUUGUUCAUGGGGAGAGAGAGAGAGAGAGAGAACCAUUAGGUCCAUCGCCAUGUACUGAGCACGACAAUAGCAGCAAGCCAUGGGCAACACAGUAGAGGAAGAAGCCAAGUUUGUGGGAGGGCAAGGCCAUUAUGCAGCUGCAGGAGGGUCAAGGAGAAGGCAUCAGGCUUGCUUGGACAAAGAAUACGAGGUAGACAGGUAUUGAAGUUUCACUCAUAAGUUAAUGAAGAUGUAACGAAGAUGUAACGUCCUAGAUCCACCGCUAGCAGAUAUUGUCCUCUUUGGGCUUUCCCUUUCGGGCUUUCCCUCAAGGCUUUAAAACGUGUU